Molecule: ribosomal RNA, 377 nt
Filed under: uncultured Anaerolineae bacterium
Lineage: Bacteria; Bacillati; Chloroflexota; Anaerolineae
Description: bacterial SSU rRNA
Rfam family: Bacterial small subunit ribosomal RNA
Source: RNAcentral
UAAUACGGGGGGGGCCAGCGUUGUUCGGAAUUAUUGGGCGUAAAGGGCGCGUAGGCGGCCCGGUCAGUCAGGCGUGAAAUCCCGCGGCUCAACCGCGGAACUGCGUUUGAAACUGCCAGGCUUGAGUCCCGGAGAGGGUAGCGGAAUUCCUAGUGUAGCGGUGAAAUGCGUAGAUAUUAGGAGGAACACCAGUGGCGAAGGCGGCUACCUGGACGGGUACUGACGCUGAGGCGCGAAAGCGUGGGGAGCAAACAGGAUUAGAUACCCUGGUAGUCCACGCUGUAAACGAUGGGCACUUGGUGUUGCGGGUAUCGACCCCUGCAGUGCCGAAGCUAACGCAUUAAGUGCCCCGCCUGGGGAGUACGGUCGCAAGGCUG